UACGUAGGGGGCAAGCGUUAUCCGGAUUUACUGGGUGUAAAGGGAGCGUAGACGGCAGAGCAAGUCUGAAGUGAAAGCCCGCGGCCCAACUGCGGGACUGCUUUGGAAACUGCCCGGCUAGAGUGCUGGAGAGGUAAGCGGAAUUCCUAGUGUAGCGGUGAAAUGCGUAGAUAUUAGGAGGAACACCAGUGGCGAAGGCGGCUUACUGGACAGUAACUGACGCUGAGGCGCGAAAGCGUGGGGAGCAAACAGG
RNAcentral lists this ribosomal RNA (253 nucleotides) under uncultured bacterium. RNAcentral's name for it is "partial 16S ribosomal RNA". It matches the Rfam family "Bacterial small subunit ribosomal RNA", at positions 524 to 776 of the family's 1533-position model. The record is from RNAcentral.